Molecule: ribosomal RNA, 374 nt
Filed under: uncultured bacterium
Lineage: Bacteria
Description: bacterial SSU rRNA
Rfam family: Bacterial small subunit ribosomal RNA
Source: RNAcentral
UAAUACGUAGGGUGCGAGCGUUAAUCGGAAUUACUGGGCGUAAAGCGUGCGCAGGCGGUGAUGUAAGACCGAUGUGAAAUCCCCGGGCUUAACCUGGGAACUGCAUUGGUGACUGCAUUGCUGGAGUAUGGCAGAGGGGGGUGGAAUUCCACGUGUAGCAGUGAAAUGCGUAGAGAUGUGGAGGAACACCGAUGGCGAAGGCAGCCCCCUGGGCCAAUACUGACGCUCAUGCACGAAAGCGUGGGGAGCAAACAGGAUUAGAUACCCUGGUAGUCCACGCCCUAAACGAUGUCAACUGGUUGUCGGGCCUUCAUUGGCUUGGUAACGUAGCUAACGCGUGAAGUUGACCGCCUGGGGAGUACGGUCGCAAGAUU